GACGAGCGCUGGCGGCGUGCUUAACACAUGCAAGUCGAACGGAAAGGCCCUGCUUUUGUGGGGUGCUCGAGUGGCGAACGGGUGAGUAACACGUGAGUAACCUGCCCUUGACUUUGGGAUAACUUCAGGAAACUGGGGCUAAUACCGGAUAGGAGCUCCUGCUGCAUGGUGGGGGUUGGAAAGUUUCGGCGGUUGGGGAUAGACUCGCGGCUUAUCAGCUUGUUGGUGGGGUAGUGGCUUACCAAGGCUUUGACGGGUAGCCGGCCUGAGAGGGUGACCGGCCACAUUGGGACUGCGAUACGCCCCAGACUCCUACGGGCGGCAGCAGUGGGGAAUAUUGCACAAUGGGCGGAAGCCUGUUGCAGCAACGCCGCGUGCGGGAUGCCGGCCUUCGGGUUGUAAACCGCUUUCGCCUGUGACGAAGCGUGAGUGACGGUACUGGGUCAAGAAGCACCGGCUAACUACGUG
Molecule: ribosomal RNA, 468 nt
Filed under: uncultured bacterium
Lineage: Bacteria
Description: partial 16S ribosomal RNA
Rfam family: Bacterial small subunit ribosomal RNA
Source: RNAcentral